Molecule: transfer RNA, 69 nt
Filed under: Ovis aries (sheep)
Lineage: Eukaryota; Metazoa; Chordata; Mammalia; Artiodactyla; Bovidae
Rfam family: tRNA
About the family: Transfer RNA (tRNA) molecules are approximately 80 nucleotides in length. Their secondary structure includes four short double-helical elements and three loops (D, anti-codon, and T loops).
Source: Rfam by way of RNAcentral
CCUGAUAGCUCAGUCAGUAAAGAAUUUGCCUGCAAUGCAGAAGACCCUGGUUCAAUUCCUGGGUCGGGA